This is a non-coding RNA of Camellia sinensis, 1213 nucleotides long. NCBI's taxonomy places the organism in Eukaryota, Viridiplantae, Streptophyta, Magnoliopsida, Ericales, Theaceae. The record is from RefSeq and is a predicted model, not a curated record.
ACUCUCCCAGACGACUCUCAUUCUAUCUGUAUAUAUUUUUGCCCCAAACCCUCUCUAUCUCUCUCUCUCUCUCUCUCUCUCUCUAUGUGCGAGCUCUCGAGCUCUCUUCGAGCAUUGCCUUGAUCGAUCACGCGAUUUCGCAUGGCCUCACAAUGUAUGUCAUUCACUUUCUUUCCCAAUCGAUCAAUUUUUUUCUGUUUCUCGAUCAUUUUUUUCCAAAAGCUUCGAAUUCAUCAUUUCAUUUGAAGUUAGGGUUUGGUGAGAGCCAUGGAAAUGUAGACCACGAAGCCAAAUGCAUUCUCAAUCAAUUGAUCUCAAACCCUCACUGAUCUCUAUACGUUCUUCUGUAUCGAACGAUUCGAUGAGUUUGAAACUCGUCAUACUUCAUAUUUUUUCUUGUGUGUGUGUUUACUGGAUCAAUUAAAGUUUGUAUUGAUAAUUUGAUUUUUUUGGAGGUCUGGCAAAUCACUAGACAAGUCCAUUUCAACGCUUCAGAUGGAGCUGGCUGCUAUUCGAAGUUCUGAAGAGAUGUGAAGAUCUGAUGAGUUCACUCACAUCUCUAAAUUGACUCAUGAAGGCUUGCCAAGGAAAAAGGCCUUCAUAGUUAUUGGAAAUAAUACUGCUUUUAGUAGUAGGAAGAGGCGCGAUUUGGUUAGACAAACUUGGAUGCCUCAAGGAGAGAGACUUCUUCAAUUGGAACAAGAGAAGGGAAUUAAUGUCCGGUUCAUGAUCGGCCAUAGGGGCAAAAUGGCUUCUUGUUGUGUUAUUUGCAGCAAGUGAAGAUGGUGAUGAUGAUGAUAAUUUGGUGACAGAGACUUGAGAUGCCGACACCAUGGUGUCUGAUAAACAAGAAAGCUAAUUGUUACAACUAAGUGAUAAGUGUUGCAUUGCCAACAGUUGUGAAGGAUGGUGAUCAUGAUCAUCUCUGGGCACUAUUGGAUCCCAAAACUUGUACUUGGACAGUUCUUUCAUAGUGUAGAUCAUGUGAUUUAAAACUCUGGAUAAAUGCAUAAUCAUAUGGGAAAAGUUUUCCAUCUUUCAUAGUGUAGAUCAUGUUGAUAAAUGAAUCUUAUGAUUUGGAUACUUUUUUUGAUUUGUAUGUUUGAGGUUGUUAUCAACUUGAUAUGAUAGAAGUUGAGAAUAAAAGUUAGUAUUCAGGUUGUUUGGUGUAUGGAUAUUAGAUUUUUUUGCUUACUUCAUAGUUACUGCCUCU